Molecule: ribosomal RNA, 478 nt
Filed under: uncultured bacterium
Lineage: Bacteria
Description: partial 16S ribosomal RNA
Rfam family: Bacterial small subunit ribosomal RNA
Source: RNAcentral
GACGAACGCUGGCGGCGUGCUUAACACAUGCAAGUCGAACGGUAAGGCCCUUCGGGGUACACGAGUGGCGAACGGGUGAGUAACACGUGGGUGAUCUGCCCUGCACUUCGGGAUAAGCCAGGGAAACUGGGUCUAAUACCGGAUAGGACCACUGCCUGCAUGGGUGGUGGUGGAAAGCUUUUGCGGUGUGGGUUGGGCCCGCGGCCUAUCCGCUUGUUGGUGGGGUGAUGGCCUACCAACGCGACGACGGGUAGCCGGCCUGAGAGGGUACCCGGCCACACGGGUACUGGCGUACGGCCCGAACGCCUACGGAAGGCAGUAGUGGGGAAUAUUGCACAAUGGGCGCAAGCCUGAUUCAGCGACUCCGCGUGAGGGAUGACUGCCUUCGGGUUGUAAACCUCUUUCAGCACCGACGAAGCGCAAGUGACGGUAGGUGCAGAAGAAGGACCGGCCAACUACGUGCCAGCCGCCGCGGUAA